Molecule: non-coding RNA, 148 nt
Organism: Pelobates cultripes (western spadefoot toad)
Lineage: Eukaryota; Metazoa; Chordata; Amphibia; Anura; Pelobatidae
Source: the annotation of a GenBank genome assembly
AUCUGUGUUUGUAUAUGCCAGUGUGUGUAUCUUUGUGUCAGUGUGUAUCUGUGUGUGUGUGUGUGUGUGUGUGUAUCUGACACACAUGCACAUAGUGGAACACAGAUACACACUGACACACAGACACACACACCUUGACACACAGAUA